Molecule: ribosomal RNA, 209 nt
Filed under: uncultured bacterium
Lineage: Bacteria
Description: partial 16S ribosomal RNA
Rfam family: Bacterial small subunit ribosomal RNA
Source: RNAcentral
CGGAUUGCAGGCUGCAACCCGCCCUGCAUGAAGCUGGAAUCGCUAGUAAUCGCGGAUCAGAAUGCCGCGGUGAAUACGUUCCCGGGUCUUGUACACACCGCCCGUCACACCAUGGGAGUCGGUAACGCCCGAAGUCAGUGACCCAACCCUAAAGGAGGGAGCUGCCGAAGGCGGGACUGGUAACUGGGGUGAAGUCGUAACAAGGUAUC